Schistosoma mansoni is the source of this 45-nucleotide non-coding RNA. NCBI's taxonomy places the organism in Eukaryota, Metazoa, Platyhelminthes, Trematoda, Strigeidida, Schistosomatidae. The record is from Rfam.
ACCUUGCUGACGACUCCCAAAUAGGACGAAACCCGGGUUCAGGGU